GAUGAACGCUGGCGGCGUGCCUAAUACAUGCAAGUCGAGCGAACGGACGAGAAGCUUGCUUCUCUGAUGUUAGCGGCGGACGGGUGAGUAACACGUGGAUAACCUACCUAUAAGACUGGGAUAACUUCGGGAAACCGGAGCUAAUACCGGAUAAUAUUUUGAACCGCAUGGUUCAAAAGUGAAAGACGGUCUUGCUGUCACUUAUAGAUGGAUCCGCGCUGCAUUAGCUAGUUGGUAAGGUAACGGCUUACCAAGGCAACGAUGCAUAGCCGACCUGAGAGGGUGAUCGGCCACACUGGAACUGAGACACGGUCCAGACUCCUACGGGAGGCAGCAGUAGGGAAUCUUCCGCAAUGGGCGAAAGCCUGACGGAGCAACGCCGCGUGAGUGAUGAAGGUCUCCGGAUCGUAAAACUCUGUUAUUAGGGAAGAACAUAUGUGUAAGUAACUGUGCACAUCUUGACGGUACCUAAUCAGAAAGCCACGGCUAACUACGUGCCAGCAGCCGCGGUAAUACGUAGGUGGCAAGCGUUAUCCGGAAUUAUUGGGCGUAAAGCGCGCGUAGGCGGUUUUUUAAGUCUGAUGUGAAAGCCCACGGCUCAACCGUGGAGGGUCAUUGGAAACUGGAAAACUUGAGUGCAGAAGAGGAAAGUGGAAUUCCAUGUGUAGCGGUGAAAUGCGCAGAGAUAUGGAGGAACACCAGUGGCGAAGGCGACUUUCUGGUCUGUAACUGACGCUGAUGUGCGAAAGCGUGGGGAUCAAACAGGAUUAGAUACCCUGGUAGUCCACGCCGUAAACGAUGAGUGCUAAGUGUUAGGGGGUUUCCGCCCCUUAGUGCUGCAGCUAACGCAUUAAGCACUCCGCCUGGGGAGUACGACCGCAAGGUUGAAACUCAAAGGAAUUGACGGGGACCCGCACAAGCGGUGGAGCAUGUGGUUUAAUUCGAAGCAACGCGAAGAACCUUACCAAAUCUUGACAUCCUUUGACAACUCUAGAGAUAGAGCCUUCCCCUUCGGGGGGCAAAGUGACAGGUGGUGCAUGGUUGUCGUCAGCUCGUGUCGUGAGAUGUUGGGUUAAGUCCCGCAACGAGCGCAACCCUUAAGCUUAGUUGCCAUCAUUAAGUUGGGCACUCUAAGUUGACUGCCGGUGACAAACCGGAGGAAGGUGGGGAUGACGUCAAAUCAUCAUGCCCCUUAUGAUUUGGGCUACACACGUGUUACAAUGGACAAUACAAAGGGCAGCGAAACCGCGAGGUCAAGCAAAUCCCAUAAAGUUGUUCUCAGUUCGGAUUGUAGUCUGCAACUCGACUACAUGAAGCUGGAAUCGCUAGUAAUCGUAGAUCAGCAUGCUACGGUGAAUACGUUCCCGGGUCU
Molecule: ribosomal RNA, 1372 nt
Filed under: uncultured bacterium
Lineage: Bacteria
Description: bacterial SSU rRNA
Rfam family: Bacterial small subunit ribosomal RNA
Source: RNAcentral